GCCUGGCACAGUGGUGCAUGCUUGUAGUCCCAUCUACUCAGGAGGCUGAGGCUGGAGGAUCUCUUGAGUCCAGGAGUUCUGGGCUGUAGUGCGCUAUGCCGAUCGGGUGUCCGCACUAAGUUCGACAUCAAUAUGGUGACCUCCUGGGAGUGAGGGACCACCAGGUUGCCUAAAGGAGGAGUGAACCAGCCCAGGUCGGAAACAGAGCAGGUCAGAACUCCUGUGCUGAUCAGUAGUGGGAUCACACCUGUGAAUAGCCACUGCACUCCAGCCUGGGCAACAUAGCAAGACCCUCUCUCU
RNAcentral lists this signal recognition particle RNA (300 nucleotides) under Saimiri boliviensis boliviensis (Bolivian squirrel monkey). RNAcentral's name for it is "Metazoan signal recognition particle RNA (ENSSBOG00000002558.1)". It matches the Rfam family "Metazoan signal recognition particle RNA". From Rfam's summary of the family: The signal recognition particle (SRP) is a universally conserved ribonucleoprotein. It is involved in the co-translational targeting of proteins to membranes. The eukaryotic SRP consists of a 300-nucleotide 7S RNA and six proteins: SRPs 72, 68, 54, 19, 14, and 9. Lineage: Eukaryota; Metazoa; Chordata; Mammalia; Primates; Cebidae. The record is from RNAcentral.